GCCCACUUCCCGCAUCUCUAUCGCCCUAGCCGCCUCCACGCUCGUGCAUCCUCCCGCGUCAAUCGUGCCCAAACCUCCUCAUCUCGUAUCCCGUGGGACCGAGGUGCGGGCAUGGAGGCGAGCUUCCCUGGCGGCGGCGGCGGCCUGCAGGCAAAGGGUGACGGCGGCGGCGGCGCUGGAUUAGAUCUGCGGGAGAGAGAGAGGAUGAGAGGGGGAGAUAAGGAAGAAGAUGAGAGGGAGAGAGAGAGAGAGAGAGAGAGAGAGAGAGAGAGAGAGAGGAAAGGGGAGAGGGAGGGCUUCUACGUCGCCGCUCUCUGGAUGCACGCCAUCCACCCGCGCACGCUCGCCGCCAACCUCGCCGGCUUCGCCAGGUUCGGCUGCCUCAAGAACCUCCCCGAGAUCCUCUAUCGUUUCCUCCACGGCCCCCGCGAUGAGCGCAAGGACUAGGACGACGUCGCUGCGGCGGCUCCGGGUGCAAGAGAGGCAAGCGACGCUGCGUCGGCGGCCUUGCCGCCGCCGCGGCUGAGGCCGCCAAGGCCCGGCGCGAGAAGGAGGCGGAGCACGCGCAGGCCGUGCUCGCGCACAACGACUCUGACGAGGCCUUCUGCAACCUCUACGACGGCGUCGCCGACAUCUUCGCCGGGCUACUCAAGUCGGACCAGGAGCACCUGCACGCGGGCGACACGGAUCGUGUUCACCGCCAAGUGGUGCCCGUCGCUGCGCCUGUCGUACGACUGCGCGACGCUGCUCUGCGAGGCCAUCGCGCGCUGAGUCUUCCCGCGCGACUCGAGCCCCGAGUACCUCGCUAUCCCCGACAAUCAGUACGCCUACCGCGUCCGCAACCGGCUCCACCGCGAGGUGCAGGUGCCGCUCCGCAAGGUGCUCGAGCUCCCCGAGGUCUACAUGAGCGCCGGAAGUGGGACGAGCUGCCCUGCGCGCGCUUGGCGUCCACGGCCAUCCGCCGGUACAAGUGGCGUCCUGGCUGUUCUUCUUUCUUCUGGGCUUCUCUCUGAUAAACAAAGGAGAUGAUAUUGCAAUGUGCUAACCAGAUUAUUGCUGCACAUUUGUCUGUUUGAUGUCUUGGUUGUGGGAUCUGAAACACUAUGUAUUCAGAUCAACAUUACACAGGCAAGGAGCGAGAUGAUGCCAAGCAGUGGAAGAGAAUGGUAACUAAAGACAACUUUGUUGGUCCUUGAUCAUGGAUUUACAAGAAAGCCAACAGAGUAUGAAAAGGUUCUCAUGGGACUCACCCUGAACUGAAAUCUAUGUUCAACCUUGGUAUAAUUCUAUGACAAAAACCCCAGGUGGUCCAAUUUUUUUUUCUUUCUUUCAUGUUUAUUGUUUUUGGUUUGUUAUAACCGAAUUUAUAGCCUACUAUUCGUGGGUUUCUUUUAUUCUGUUUUGGUGGGUUCUAAGCUAUGAAAUUAGGAACCAUAUAGUUUAUUAGUUUGAGACCUGCUUCAAGAUAAAGAAUGAAAUGAAGAAUUAUUAUUUCAUGAUGACACACAUGACUGUCAAACUGCAGAAAAUACUUGAUUUAUGUACUGUAUGAUUUCUGAGUUCCUUUCCUUUCUAGAUUUAUGUGGGGAGAACUCAUGAGCUUAUGAAUGAGUGAUUCGGAUUUGUCUAAUUGGGAACUAGCAAAUCAUGCAAAGUAAGGGUUUUUCUGCUCAUAUAGACUGGUUGGUCGAUGGCUUCUUGAUACAUCGUACCUUAAACAACAUAAUUUCUGAUUGAGGGGACCAGGUUGAUGCCCUGUUUGAUGUGAAUUUUCUGGGAUGUGCUGCCAUAUACUUCCACCACUGUAUACAACAAUGAGUACAACAUUUAACAUGGGCAUGAUGUUAAAUUUGAGUGAAUCUAAGGGCCUACUGGCUGCAUAAUCUGUGGCUAUAUUUUUUAGACUUAUUUAUUUACUUUUGUGUAUGCAAGGAGCAAUUCUACUAUCUCUUCAUGGUUUAGCGUUUAUAUAUUAGUUGGAUAGUAUCUCUUUAUUCUGUUGUUGUGACUGACUAGCUGCUUACUUAUAUGGACAACUUGAACUGAAAGCAAGAGUAGAAGCCCAUGAGAUGAGACACAAGGAAAAUAUGCAUGGUAUUUUUCAAUUCUAAUGUUUCAGUUCCACUCACCUACUUGACUGGCUACGUGAUGUAUAUACUGAUUUCCUGCUACUGUUUGAGUUAUAACAGUUUUGCUCAUCUGGCAGAAAAUGGCACAUUCAUGAUUCAGUUUGGUUAGCAAGUGCCUAAAUACCCUGGAAAUGUGUUUGAAUCGCACAAAAAAAGUUUGUAGUUCUUAUUCAUACUUGAAACAUGUGAGGCUCUGCAAAUUAAACCAUGUUUUUUUUCAAGGCGCAUAUGGAUUUAGUAGACCACAACUAAACACAUUGUAUAUAUAUGGCCUGUCCUUAGUAAAGGAAACUAUUUUCGUCGCGAGCAUGGCUUUAGUUGAAGGUUCUUACAACAUGAAACUAUUUUCAUCGAGAACAUGUCUUCAGCAGGUCUCUGCGCCAUUUCGCGCAACGGGUCAACUAGUAUUGUAAAUAAUAGCACUAGUAAGAAAUUUUUGGCACUAGCUAGCAGUUUUUGGCAUGGAUUAAGAAAUUUUGGGCAUGUUUUUGCUAUUUUUUGUACACGCCAACUAGUGUCAAAAAACGUCUUACAUUAUGUGACGGAGGAGUAUGUACUCGUACUGUAGCAGUACUAGUACUACUUUCUCAACUAGUAGUGCGAUGUACUGUAUUUCUAGCAUAGUGUACCAGUUUUGAACUCUUAAAUCUCAGGGACAAGGAGCUACAGUUGGAAGUGGAGGGUACUAUUGUUCUUUAUAACCAUCGUUGUACUAUCAAUGCAGGGAAAGUACACCUAUGUAGUGGCCUAGUGGGUAUUCUCGGUACUCUAUUCAGCCCCUCCUCUCACGCACACACUAGCAGCCUGUUUAUCAGCGACGGUUACUGCGGGGGCAGAACAUUUGAGUUAUUGGAUAAAGCGAGACUAGGCUUUUUGCUUCCAUUUGUGGAGGUGUAAUGGAUCUCGUCG
Molecule: ribosomal RNA, 3038 nt
Filed under: Triticum aestivum (bread wheat)
Lineage: Eukaryota; Viridiplantae; Streptophyta; Magnoliopsida; Poales; Poaceae
Description: partial small subunit ribosomal RNA
Source: RNAcentral